UGCUGGGUGAGCGGAGAAGGAGCGGAUCGCGGUGUUGACGCGCCUGCCGGCUUGCUUCUAGCCCAGGCGAGGCGCCGUUUGCAACAGUUCCGCGGGGGCCACGCCCCGGGGAAGAAGGCAGAGCCAAGUGCUGCCCGGCGGCAGAGAUCGCGCACCGCCAGGCAACCCGGAGCGCCCGAGGUAUGGAAGAGCCUUGAGAGAGGCUCCCCGCAACGCGCCCAGAGAAUGGGACGGGACGGGGCAGGUGAGUGACUGGACACCUUCAGGGCUGGGCGCACCGCCCUGGGCAAGGCGGGUGGGGUUCGCCUAGGGUUCCCCUUACCCCUCCCGCCCGAGAGCGCCCUCUUGCGUUUCUUGCUCCCUUACGAGUGUCCGUCAAGCGCAGCCGAGAUAUUGGAUCAAUGAAUCAGUGGGUCAAUGAGACUUUGGGGCGAGGCGGGGGGGGGGUCAGGGGAACCCUCGUCUAAUCCCCACUACACCCUAAGUGUUUGGGGUGGCGAUCGCGCGCAGCUGCCCUGCUCGCCUGUGUAUCACCGCGGGGGGGGGGCGAGCUGCGUUGUUCGCAAGAGCGCUGGCUGAUCUGUCAAGGGGGAAGCAAUCUGGGACGGCGAGGAGGAUCUCCCUGGCAUUUCUCGGCUCGGCCCGAGGUGGUUUGCCAUGAAGCAGAGGGAAGAUGCCCUCUGUUUCCUGACCUUCUAUCCCGGGAGACCAGGCUCUCCUCUGGUCAAGUUAUUUUGAGUGAGAAGAACGCGGAGUUUCGGCCGGCGAGUCUUAAAGAAACAGGGGCCUCAUUGUUCCAAGUCUGAUCCAGGCGGGGGGGGGGGGGGAGGCGGCCACUGAGGAGGAAAAUCCGCUUUCUUGCCUCCCUGGUUUGCCCCGCAGUCAAAGGGCCCCGAGUAUCUGUUUCUCCUCUUUUUAGCCAAACAUGAAGGGGAGGGGGGAGAGUCUUCACCCUUUUCAAAAACGCAAACAGGUGGGGUGGGGGGAUAGGACUGCCCUUCAGAGUAUUUUGUGUGCUGCAGGAGGUAACAAAAGAAGGUAAAAAGAUACCUCUUGCUGGACCGUAUUCUCGUGGGUGAAAGUGCGUGAGCAUCAGGGCAGCAUUCAGCUCUUCUGGGGGAGAAAUGAAACGUUUCUCUCAUCGCCACUGCCUGGCGGCGCGAAGCAAAUCCAAGGGAAGGUAUCGCUUUCCAUCUUUUCGGCCGGGUUUCCCACAGUUCCUCAAUUGCCCUUCUCUCCGAGUCACUUGCACCCCCAAGGCUUUAGGGGGCAGCAGACCCUGGGAGAGGAAUGGGUGGUUCUGCAAAGGCUUGAUAGCUUGUUUGCUGUAUUUUUGUAACCAAGCAAAUAGUAAACUUCACAGAAGGUCACCAAGGGUGCACUGCGCAGAGCCAUGCCUGUGCUGGUAUAAUUGUUACACACCAGGCAAUUCCUCCGAGGUAGCUGCUUUCUCUCAGGUUUACAUACUUCCCCUGGCACAGAAUUGGUUACUGGGGGAACGUCCAGCGUACAGUGGCUGGCUGCACCAUGCGUUUGUGUGUCAGCACCCCCAAGUUCUACUCCUCCUUUGAAGAAGAGCUGGGAAAGGAAUAGCCAGAGCUUGUCCCGGAGCCAGUCCUAACAUUAGGCAAAGUGAAACAACUGCCUCAGGUGGCAAAUGCUCAGGGGCGGCAAGCAGGUAUUGGAGGGUGGAGCUGUGUGUGCUACAGGUCCCUGCCCUUGUGUGCUGGCGGAUGCUGUCCUGUCACAAAUGUUGAAGUAAGAUUCAAGAACCUGUCCCUUCAGCUUCUGUACAUGGAAUUGUGGUGUGCAGGGGGCAGGGGCGCCAUCUGAGGGGUUGGGCAGAGGCCGAGGGUCCCCCACAUUUUCAAGUAGGGGCUGAGCCACCUCAAAAUUCCAUGGCAGCCAUGCACACGUCGUGCAUGCAGGUUGUGCGAUGUCCUCGUGUCACUUGUGCAAGUCGCACAGCAUGGACGCAACACAUCAUUUGUCUAUCCUGGCCCAAUGUAGCGUGUGAGACUGUGGAGGGGGCUGCCUAUGAGAAGGGAGAAAGUGAAAAGAGCAGUGUCGCUCACAGGGUUACAGUGUGGGGUAUAGGCAUCCUACUGCAAGAUAUCACAAUGCAGACUUGGGUGUAAGGUGUGGAGCAGGGUAGGGCAAGCAGGGUAGCUUGCCUGACGGGUUAGGCAGAAAAGAACAUUAGAGCCAUUGCUAGGAUGCCUGAGCAGCAAGUAUGUGGUGAUGGUAAAUUCUGAAUCACUGUUCAGAGGCCAAUGAGAUGCUACAUCCCACUCCUUGCAGACAGACAACUGUGGUCUAGUGUGCAUGGGGAGUAUUAAAAUAGGCAGUCUUUCACCUGCCACUGUGAAACGGUGCAAUGCCUGUGAGCAUUCUGGUCAUUUGUUUCUGCCCGCAAGAGAGCUAUUUUACCCUGGUAACAAGGCUGUAAACAGAGGUCUUGCGACGGGAAGUGGCCACCUUAGGGCAGCAUUUCACAAUGCGGGAAAUGGUGAGAGUGUGCCUGUGAGUCAGCUGCAUACCUGGAUUUUGUGCUUUCAGAAUAACAUGGAAACGGAAAACUCAUGAUCUCCCCUAGCAGGGAGAGAGUCGUUCAUUCUGCCUUACCUAUCAGGGAUAUAUGCUUCAGCUUUCCAUGUGCAUGUUAUGCUAGAAAUGGAGGCGGGGGAGAGAUGUGCACUCACUACCUGAGAGAGCUACCUGGACCAGGUAUGGGAAAUGGGGUAAGAAGACUAAAACUCAUAGCUGACCCAAUAAUUUUGCUGCCUGGGGCAAAGGACAAUAUUCCCUCCUCCUCAAUUGCACACACAAAUGCGAACUAGACUAGCAGCUGAAUCCUACUUCAAUGCUUUUGAUGGGGCAGCAUCUCUCACUUCACCCAAGGGCAGCAGGCUAGCUUAGUGGGUAGGGAGAGUGUUGUCAUGCUCACAUAUUGCCUGUGGGCUUCCUGUGGGCAUCAACAUGUUGACCAUGUUGAGAACAGAAUGAUGGACUAGAUGGGGCUUUGGUUUGAUCCAGCAGGGCUUUUCUUGUGCGCUAAUGGGGUGCAGCCCAGGUUGCAUGACACACACACAGCUCUCUCCUCCAGCACCUUGCUGCCACUCUACUUGACACCUGUAUGCUACCUGCAGAAAGUAAUGCUGUGUUGCAGCAACUGCACCAAUACAUAUCACAUGAUUGGAGUAAUGCAUGUGUGAUGCCUGUGGGAGUUCAUGGCCUGGGCUGUGUGGUGCCUCUUUGCCUGCUCACAGUUGUGCUGUCUGUGACACAUUGGGAGAAGGAGCCCAGUGCGACACAGCAAUCAUUCCCACUACUGGGAUCUUACUUCUGCCAGCUCAGGAAGGGUGGUUGCUGCUGCCACCAUCCAGUAUCCACUGCUUGAGGCAACCGCCUCAAUCGGCAUAAUGUUAGGGCCGGCUCAGAGACUGUAAACAAAGGGAUCACAGACUGCCUUGUGAAUGCUAUGGAUCUAAUCUAAAAUCCUGUGCCUAACAGCAGCCUGAGUCAGAUGCUUCAAAGGAAAUGGUACAACAAAAGCACAUUUGUGAAGCAAGCCAUCCGUUGUCAGGCAUAUGAUUUUAGCAGCUAGAAAAUUUGGGGUCUGUGUCCCUCCCAGAAAAGUGUACCUUAACAGAUAUUGUUUUGGCUUGACUACCAUGAAUUUGUCUCAAUUUUUAGGGGAAACUCAUUAGUACUGUACUAAUUUACAUCCUGUGAUCCCAUGACGAAUACAAAUCUACAGUUUAAUCAUGACUCUUCUGGAAAAACAAAAAACAAUUUUGCUCCUGGCCAAAAUAGUGCAGGUUUCUGUUCACACCAACAGAGGUAUGGCUGCUGCUCUUUGCCGCUUUUACAUUUCCCAGGGAAUCAGGCACUAAUUUUAAUAAGCUGCUUUAUGAGUUUGGAAUUGUCACUGGACCUUUAAGGACAAUAGCCUGGAGAGGAAAAGCUGACAUCACUGCUCAGGAAGAGUCCAGGGAGGGACCCUAUUCCGGCUCAAGGUAUUUUAAUUGUUCCAGCACUGCCGAGAUAAAAUCAAUGUCUCCUGAACAGGUUCCAAAGCACCACAGCUUCCGUUUACACACAAUGGCAAAAGCAUAACAUUAUAAUAACACAAGUAGCGGCUGGCUUGGCUAAAAGAUGGGAGGUUGUCAAGAGAUACAAAUAAGAAGCAAUUUAGCUUUUAGAAAUCUAGGUCUGAGGUCUUAAAAGCUCAGGAUUAAGCUGUCCCAGUGUAGAUCAGAACAAUGUAAAAUACAACUUUAAAAACACCUUUAAACAAAUUGCAAUCGCAACUAGGGUGGGUCCUGAAUUUAUUUAUAUCUCUCAAGUAUCAAAGGCAAGGGUUAAGAGGUGUGUAUCUUCAGCAUAGGAUGAAAGCUGUACAAUGAAAGUGUCAGACACACCUCUGUGAUGACUGAACUCCACAAUGUAGGGGCAGCCACAGAGAACUCUCUCUCAUGGGUCAACCCCACGCCUGAGCUUCUGAGGGUGGAGGACCUUAACACCCAAGAGGGUGUUAAUAUCUUUCAGAUAUUCGGGACUGAAGUCAUUUAUUUAUAUAAGUAAAAUGACACGCAGUUACAGCAGAUAAAUGUUGUAAAUACAUUACACACACACACACACACACACACACACACACACACACACACACAUAUAUAUAUAUAUAUAUAUAUAUAUAUAUAUAUAUAUAUAUAUAUAUAUAUAUAUGAGCACCAGUUUGAGGUUGUGCCUAUCUGCCCCUGGAAUCUACUAGAAAGAGUUUCUACAUGGUACAUUCUAGUCCAGGGAUUUCCAAACUGUGUGCCAAGACAUGCCUUAAAAAAGUUAAGCCAGUGUUUUGGAUCCAUCCACCACUCUCUGCCUGUUGAAACACAGAGGCCCCAAGCAGCAUUGAUCCUCCCUCUUUCUGCCCAUACAUGGGCAGUGGCAUCUUUCCAAGGGAAUGAGUCUCCCUGACAGGCAUGAGAGAAUUCCAGAAACAUCACCAUUGCCCAGGAAGUCUGGCCUCAUCCCGAACCCUCGAGUAAAGGGGAAGAGUGGACAGUGUUGGGAGCAAUAUUGAUCAUUAGGUUACCCUCCAGCUGCAAGGAUGCCUGCGCAUCAUUCUAGGAGCAGACCAACAAAAUAUAUACGUCUCUCUCUCUCUCUCUCUCUGUCUCUCUCUCUCUCUGUCUCUCACAUUCAUAUUUUAUUGAAAAAAAAAUCAAAUAUAAAGCAGUAAAGUGAUACAAAAAGAAGAAGAAAAGGGGAAAGGAACAAAACACAGAACUGUGUAAAGGGAAAAAAACAUUAAAUGAAUAUAUACAAAAAACACCCUAACCCAUACAUUCUUUUAUAAAUUUGAUAUUAUCCUAAUAGAAAUAUUAAUAGUCUACUACAUUUUGUAUAAAUUUGUUCCAAAUACAGUAUUGUCAUAUUUAUCCAAGCAGAGUCUAUGUCUGUAAGCAGUUCGUUUGUAGGUUGCAAGUGUUAUCAUAUUAUCAAUCCAAUCUUUACUCUUCCAGUUCAUCAAUAUCAGCCUCUUGGCUACCACUAGAGCAUAUCUCUCUUGAGUGCAAGGGUAAAUUGUGCCUCUAAUCCAUUAAAAAAACCCAAAUACCCUAUUCCAGGUUACAAAAGCUUCAGAAACACAGUUCCAAUCCUUGUUUCCUUUUUUCCAUACUGUCAGAAGGUCACUACAUAGCUGACAGAGAGGAAGUAGCGCACACUUGUUAUUGUUUAGUCGUUUAGUCAUGUCCGACUCUUCAUGACUCCAUGGACUAGAGCACGCCAGGCACUCCUGUCUUCCACUGCCUCCCGCAGUUUAGUCAAACUCAUGUUGGUGGCUUCGAGAACACUGUCCAACCAUCUCGCCCUCUGUCGUCCCCUUCUCCUUGUGCCCUCCAUCUUUCCCAACAUCAGGGUCUUUUCCAGGGAGUCUUCUCUUCUCAUGAGGUAGCCAAAGUAUUGGAGCCUCAGCUUCAGGAUCUGUCCUUCCAGUGAGCACUCAGGGCUGAUUUUCUUAAGAAUAGAUAGGUUUGAUCUUCUUGCAGUCCAUGGGACUCUCAAGAGUCUCCUCCAGCACCUUAUUUCAAAAGCAUCAAUUCUUCGGCAAUCAGCCUUCUUUAUGGUCCAGCUCUCACUUCCAUACAUCACUACUGGGAAAACCAUAGCUCCUUCUUCAUGGCGAAGGGGCUUGAAUAACUCAGAGAAGCUAUGAGUGAGCUAUGCCGUGCAGGGCCACCCAAGAUGGACAGGUCAUAGUGGAGAGUUUUGACUAAACGUGAUCCACCUGGAGCAGGAACUGGCAAGCCACUCCAGUAUCCCUGCCAAGAAAACUCCAUGGACAAAGACAACAAACACACACUAGCCAUUUGUUUUGGACUCUGGACUUCUGGGAAUGCCCAUUUUAGAUUAUUAUGACUUUGCUCACUUCAAAAUGUAACAAGACAGCCCUUCUGUGUUUGGGGGAACCUCUUGCUCCUUCUGGGAAAGGGGGGUAAAGGAGAAUCCAGGGCUUGUCUGCAGAGUGGAAGGAAUAGAGGACCUUUUUCUGCCUCCCCACUUCCAGCCACUCUCUGAAGACUGCAGAAGGGACCUUUCUUAAGAAUAUUAGUGGGGAGGGAAGCAUGGCUUUGUUUUUUGAAGUAUUGAGAUGAGGACUAGACCAUGUCAAAAAUAAACAUAAGAUUUUAGCUGCAGUUCAUUCAUUUUCAGUUUCUAACACUGGUUUGGGAGCUGUUUUUUCCAAUGGGUUUAUCCCACAGUGGGGCAGUACCAUUUGAACCCCAGGACCACAUGGAUGGGACCAGGUGUGUGGGUCCUCCCCCCAUCACAGAAUCAAAACCCUUCCAGGAGGAUAGGUAACCAUUCCAAGGAAAGGCCUUCAUGCUUAGCCCUGCCCAGGUUGUGGUGAGUAAUAUCUGUACUAUGGGCUCACUCACUCCUUGAAAAAUGCCUCCUGUGGUGCUGACAUAAUGUCUAAAGGCCACCUUAGCAAGAGUGUGGUUACUUCUCUGAGCUGUGUUAACAGCAAAGAUGGAGCUAAUCACUGUUUGCAAGGGAUUUGGAGGCAAUUCUUUGUUUGCAUUUGGUCUGGUUGCUUCAGAAACCCUAUCAGCGUAUGAGAGUGCCUACGUAACCAACACAGGGAUGGCUGAGGGAGACACCUCAAUACGAGUGGCAGGGAGUGGUUGGCUCUGCACUGAAGAUCGAUAGGGCAAACUUAGAAGAAGAAGAAGAAGAAGAAGAAGAAGAAGAAGAAGAAGAAGAAGAAGAAGAGGAGGAGGAGGAGGAGUUUGGAUUUGAUACCCCACUUUAUCACUAUCCGCAGGAGUCUCAAAGCGGCUAACAUUCUCCUUUCCCUUCCUCCCCCACAAGAAACACUCUGUGAGGUGAGUGGGGCUGAGAGACUUCAGAGAAGUGUGACUAGUGCAAGGUCACCCAGCAGCCGCAUGUGGAGGAGCGGAGACAUGAACCCGGUUCCCCAGAUUACGAGUCGACCGCUCUUAACCACUACACCACACUGGCUCUCCUUCUUCCUGACUUCCUUACAGGAGAGGAGAAUGUGUGGCACUCCAGAUAUUGUUGGACUACAGCUGCCACCAUCCCUGACCAUUGGCCAUGCUGGCUGGGGCUGAAGGGAGUUGGAGCCCGACAACAUUUAGGGUGGUAGUCAAUGCUAGUCUUAGGUACAGUAGACGCCCAGCCUAGCACUUGUGUGUUCAACCUUUGCGUUUCAUGUCUUUUUGCAGCUACUGGAAAGGGACUAGGUUUAGGAGAUUAUAAAUGCCUUCCUAGCACAGGGAAUGGUUCCAGCUGCCAGGAAGGAAGAAUAUGUAAGACCACUCCUGAAGAAUGCCUCCUUCGAUUCACAGGAUUAUAAUACGAAUCAGCUGCAAAUGUUUCUUCCUUGGGCUAGGUGUUCGAGUCAGUGAUUGAUGGCCAAUGCAAGCGCUAAAUUAUGUGUCUGGAUAGGUUUGCUGGAACAGACGAGUUUUUAGCAAGCAUCUAAAACAGUAUAGUGAAGGGGUGCCUGCCUAGUGUCAAUAGUUCCAGAGGGCAGGUGUUGCAAUGCUAAAUGAGUGACUUCCUGCAAAUCGGAAUUAUAUAUUGAAAGAGAAGCCCAAACAAACCCUAAUCUGUUGUGAAAAUUGUAACAACGUAUGCUGCUUAAUCUGUCAGAUCAACCUCCCCCAACCUGUUGUCCACCAGCUGUUUGGACUGUGUACACACCAUACAUUUGAAGCACCCCCAAAGAAUUAUGGGAACUGUAGUUUACCCCCUCACAGUGCUAUAAUUCCCAGCAUCUACAGUUCCUAGGAUUAUACAAGUGGGAAGAUGUGCUUUUGUUCGAUAUUGUUGAAAAUAUUAUUAUUGUAAUUUUGUAAUAAGGAAAAUGCUUAUACAUUGUAUAUGGCUUUGAGGAUUUUGUAAACUACUUUGAGGUUUUAUUACAAUCAAGUGAGAUGAUAGAUAGAUAGAUAGAUAGAUAGAUAGAUAGAUAGAUAGAUAGAUAUUAAAAAAUGAAUAGAAGAAAGGGGAAAAACACUUAAAGCAAAAAUGAAAUAAAAGAAAGAAAUCUAAGUAUCAUAUAAGCUCACAGAAAGAAAGGUUUACACUCUCAAGUCUUACAUCACAUAUUAUUAGCAGCAUUGUUAAUGUCUAGAAAUCUGGGGGGGGGGAGUAUCAAAAAUCUAUCCCAAAAUAUCUUUCCAUGAUGAAGCGUGAGUCAGUGGUGGGCUCCAGCAAUGUUCCUUUUGAGCCACAUAAGUUAUAAAGCUGUAAGUUACGAAGCUUAAAUGUCCUCCUGUCCGCUUCAACCAACAGGCUAUAUAUAUCCAGGCCCAGAUUUGGACAUCCUGCUGCCUGAAUCUGGUCAGUAGUAGCUGUCCUUUCUCAUACCAGCAACUUAGCACUUGGAGGAGAGUCAUGCUGCUCACUGUGACUCCACAGUGCCCCCAGUGACAAGUGUGGUGUGAUUAAAGUCACCAGGCUAUUUUGGGGGGUGGGGUUGGACAACGUACAGGUGCAGUGGUAUAGCAGUGUCUUCCUCAGAACCCUUGGUUGCUGAUAAGAGGAGGAGAGCACUCAACCCUUUGGCCUCUGGGUCUCGAUCCUUACCGACAUUCAAGAAAGAAUAUUGUUCUGUGAUGCCACACCUGUAUGGUAAUAAGCUCCAGUGACCAGCAGGGGCACAAACUAAUGAUGACAUCAGCCCACACAGCUACCAGAAGCCUCCAGGUCAGAAGAGGUGGACACUCAUACUCUUUGGCGUUGUCCUCUUAGCAAGAGAACUCGUGUUAGGAGCUCUGGAAGAGACGUGCAACUGCAGCGCAGAAGUUGAUUUCCAGGAACUGCAGACCAAAUUGGCUCCUGAGA
Molecule: non-coding RNA, 9381 nt
Organism: Zootoca vivipara (common lizard)
Lineage: Eukaryota; Metazoa; Chordata; Lepidosauria; Squamata; Lacertidae
Source: RefSeq, a predicted model, not a curated record